UGUAGGCAGUCUUGCAGGAACUCCUUUGCAUCAUGUUGCAAAAAGAGGCCAUGAUGGUACUGUUAUUCUACUUCUUUCUCAUGGAGCAAAUCCUUUAGUGAUGAAUUAUGAUUGCCAAACCCCUCUUGAUUUGGCCAGAGCCAAAGGAAAUUCCAAUGUUGUCCGUGCUAUUCAGAAUCGUAUAUGUUUAUUUGUUGGUUGGCUAAGGGAGAUUCAUGGGCCAAGCAUUUUGGAAGCUUUUUCUCCUCAAUAUGUGUCAAAGAAAACGCCAUCAUGCAGGAACUCCUUUGCAUCAUGCUGCAAAAAAUGGCCUUGAUGGUACUAUUAUUCUACUCCUUUCUCAUGGAGCAAAUCCUUUAGUGAUGAAUGAUGAUUGCCAAAUCCCUCUUGAUUUGGCCAGAGCCAAAGGGCAUUCCAAUGUUAUGCGUGCUAUUGAGAAUUGUAUCUAUUUAUUUGUUGGUUAGCUAAGGGAGAUUCAUGGGCUAAGCAUUUUGGAAGCUUUUGCUUCUCAAUGGGAGUCAAAGAAAAUUUGGGCUGUUGCUAUACCCUGUGAUUCUCGUAAUCCCACAAAUCCAAGGAAGUAUAAGCUG
Dendrobium catenatum is the source of this 590-nucleotide long non-coding RNA. RefSeq lists it as uncharacterized. The transcript has 7 exons. The record is from RefSeq and is a predicted model, not a curated record. Lineage: Eukaryota; Viridiplantae; Streptophyta; Magnoliopsida; Asparagales; Orchidaceae.